This 309-nucleotide ribosomal RNA is filed under the name Klebsiella quasipneumoniae subsp. quasipneumoniae. RNAcentral's name for it is "partial 23S ribosomal RNA". It matches the Rfam family "Bacterial large subunit ribosomal RNA", at positions 2083 to 2391 of the family's 2925-position model. Lineage: Bacteria; Pseudomonadati; Pseudomonadota; Gammaproteobacteria; Enterobacterales; Enterobacteriaceae. The record is from RNAcentral.
GAAAGACCCCGUGAACCUUUACUAUAGCUUGACACUGAACAUUGAGCCUUGAUGUGUAGGAUAGGUGGGAGGCUUUGAAGCGUGGACGCCAGUCUGCGUGGAGCCAACCUUGAAAUACCACCCUUUAAUGUUUGAUGUUCUAACGUGGGCCCCUUAUCGGGGUUGCGGACAGUGUCUGGUGGGUAGUUUGACUGGGGCGGUCUCCUCCCAAAGCGUAACGGAGGAGCACGAAGGUUAGCUAAUCCUGGUCGGACAUCAGGAGGUUAGUGCAAUGGCAUAAGCUAGCUUGACUGCGAGCGUGACGGCGCG